AGGUGAUAUAGACGAGGAGUUGGAUUUUGGGCUCGACGAGAGGACGAUCUAGCUAGUAUGGUAUAGCGAUCGCCACCCUGGUUGUAUUUCUUUCCCGCCUUUAGUAGUCAUUUAAAUAAUGGUUCAGUUAGCUGAUUUUUAUGAUUGAUUGAAUGUGGUGAUCUGGUUUUGGUAGAUCUGUGGAUGCUUUCAUUAUUUAUGCAUGUGAACUGAGGUUUGUGGAUUUGGAUGUUGAUUCUAUGGAUAUCGGAUUUUCUUGUAUUUACAUAUCGUGGUUUUCUACCCCUCGAGGUAGUUGAUUUUCAAAAUAGAGUUUCCGUGUGGGAAAUAGUUUUAAAAAGAUUUUCAAAUGAUUUUUCAUGAUGAAUGAAUUAGAGUUCAAAAAUAAAAGCUUCUGUGUGGGGAGCACUUUUAAAUAGGAUGAUUGUUGUACUGUGCAUUACAUCAUCCAGCGCCUAAGGAGUGCUUAGAGGCAUGCAUCAUCUCUAAGGAUUGUUAGCUGUAUGAAAAUGCAUAUCAUUAAUUGGUUGUUGAUUGGUAAUUGUAGGUUGUGGUUGUGAUCCUGUUGUAUAGUUGGUACGCCGUGCAAAUACAAAGAAGACUCUGUCCGAGUGGACAGAUGAACUUUGUAUUUG
RNAcentral lists this long non-coding RNA (635 nucleotides) under Ananas comosus (pineapple). Its description in RNAcentral is "long non-coding RNA (ACOM_LNC040158)". The record is from RNAcentral. Lineage: Eukaryota; Viridiplantae; Streptophyta; Magnoliopsida; Poales; Bromeliaceae.